CGGUGACGGAGCCGUACGAAGUUUCAGUCGCGGUCGCCAUUUUCUCUGGGAGUCAUCGGUUCGCCGUGUUUCCUCUCAGCCAGCAGUGUUUUUUUGGGCGAAAGAGCCGCCGAAAAUCUGGGCCAUCAUCGCGCGGCCGUACCCCAAAUGGCUUGCCUGAACACCCUGAAACAGGAGAUCAAAACCCUCGAGUCCGUCUUCCCCAAGAGCCAUGAAAGGUUUCAGAUAAUGUCCGCGAGUGUGGACGAGCUCAGCUGCAGGUUCGUCGGUAAAAAUGGGAAGAAGUAUGAAAUUCACGCCAAUAUCACAGAAACCUACCCGUCAACUCCGCCAGUGUGGUUUGCGGAAUCGGAGGAGACGAGUGUUACGAACGCAGUACAAAUUCUGAGUAACACAACCGGUCGUGACAACCACGUGAUAAAUCAGGUGGGAAUUCUGCUGAAAGAAUUAUGCCGACUACACUCCUUACCAGAACCACCGGACGUGGAGAGGCUCAGAACGGCGUUGGAUCCUCUGCGUCUUGGAGGUGCGGCCGCAGCUGUUGCGCAAAGAAUGGAAGCAGAGGACGUCGAAGACAUCGACGACGACGAGGAAAGCGAAACUGAGGAGGACCUUCACCUGGAUAUGGACGAGGGCGAAGCGAAUGCCAAGAGUAAGGGCGAGGAAAUGGAUCUGGAGCACCUUGCGACGCUCGAGAGGUUGAGACAAAAUCAGAGACAGGACUAUCUAAAGGGUUCAGUUUCCGGUAGCGUACAAGCCACUGACAGACUCAUGAAGGAACUCCGCGACAUAUACCGAAGCGACAGCUUCAAGAAAGGAAUGUAUAGCAUAGAGUUGGUGAACGACAGCCUUUACGAAUGGAACAUAAGGCUAAUGUGCGUGGAUCCGGACUCGCCGUUACACAACGACCUCGUCCUCCUCAAGGAGAAAGAGGGCAAAGACAGUAUUCUUCUAAAUAUGCUCUUCAAGGAGACGUAUCCGUUCGAGCCACCGUUCGUCCGGGUGGUGCAUCCGAUAAUUUCGGGCGGAUACGUUCUAGUUGGGGGCGCCAUUUGCAUGGAGCUGCUAACAAAACAGGGCUGGAGCUCGGCGUACACGGUUGAAGCAGUUAUAAUGCAGAUCUCUGCGACGCUGGUCAAGGGCAAGGCGCGUAUACAAUUCCAGGGAACAGCCGGCGGCGGAAAAGUCUGCACAGGACAAGGCCAAUACAGUUUGGCGCGUGCACAACAGUCAUUCAAGUCCCUCGUUCAAAUACACGAGAAGAACGGCUGGUUCACACCACCGAAGGAGGACGGCUAAUAAUUGUAUAGUGUGGAAGAACGACAAUAUGACGCGUGCUUACAGCUGAGACUUUAAUUCGUUGGCGCAUACUUGCUUCACCUGAGAAUCUUCGCUAAGGCUGUUUUCUUCUGAUCAACGGAAGUCACGGAUCCCGGUACGGAAAUACGAUCUGGAAAUAAUGACACGGAGGAAGCAUCUCGGCAUUGACCCUCCUUCGCAAGAAAUAGAUUGUGCGAAAUCGUAAGGAGCUUCUCUUGCACAAGCUGUCCGAACGACGCCAUCCACUUUAACGGGGCUUUGCCCGUCCUGAAUCAUUCAUAAAUUGUGCAUCAGGGCGAUUAUGGCUGACACGCGUAGUCCUCCACUUCAUUCCCAUCCCUUAACGCUACGGGGUGCCAACGAGAGACUGCUCCCUAGUGGAUGAGACGGCUCAAAAGAAAAUUAUGCCUUCCAUUCUUUUCCUCCAUCUACGACAUUGGCCGAGGAUAAAAUUCAAAAUUAUCACCUGCACAGGGGGACUAAGCCAAUUUUUUUAAAAGGGAAGGAAUAACAGGAUAAUAUUUUUUUUUACCUAUCGUCUCUAUGAUACCAUCGGUAUAUGCAUAUUCUAUAAAUACCUUUCAUCAUUAAUCCAUAUGAUUUUACAGUGACAGGAGACAAACACUGAUUGCCUUCGAUCAAUCCAUUUUAAUGGCCUCCACUGGAAUAUGGAAAUAAAUGAAAGUCAAUUUACCAAGUGUUCGUUAGCGGCACGCAUAACUUCAUCACUAGUGAAACCAAUGCAGGAUCCUAUUGUGCGCAUCGUUCAUAUAACUAAGUUAAUGCGUUUCCCAUAUUGCUACUCUGCCUGCUUGUGUAUUUCCCACGGGAACGACCUAAUGUACUAUAUUCAUGUAGAGAUAACGUGUACCUAAGCACGCCCUGGUCAGCAUAUAUGAUUCGCAUUUGAUACAUCUAAUAGACGAAGCAAGUUCUGUUGGUACUAUAAAUACAUAUUAUACGUAUCUAUAGGGUUGGUAUAGGGGUACCUAUCUGGUGACAUAGGUUAGCUACCAUUGAAACGAGAAAUUCCCAUUGCGAAACCAUUAAUUUACUCAUUAUCGCCGUUUCUCUAAUUAACCGUUACACCCGGUGCAGUCACAAUUCUCUAAGACGAUUCUAAUCAGCUUGCGUUAUGUCACCUGUGAUACUAUACGAGUCCAUGAGAAGUUGAAUCGCCAGGAUCCCAAAUCAGCUCAGUACCAAAUGUGUAUCAAGAUUUUUGUAAGUUUUUUUAUCGUUUUUCUUUUAGGCGAAUAUCGGACGUACGGGACAUCGACUGUGGCGCCUCUAGCGGUAAAACUCGGCAGAGCAAAUCAAUUCUAGACACACGGUGACCCGACGAAUAUGGCUACUUGUAAAGUUUUACGCGGAUCCUUUGCUACUUUUAGCAUGACUGUCGACUAUAGAAUUCAAAUUUUUAAGGUUACCUAACCUUCCUUCCUGUCCACAAUAGAAAGCUUUUACGAUUCGCCUUGAGCCCCACGGGGAUCUUUAUGGCUGGCAAUUCUGAAUCAACGAUACGUCUCCGUCGUGUCACGUGGAUUUUGAUUGUUUGCUCAACCCUUCGCCCCAAGGGGCUGUAUUGUUUGGACGAGACAGGAUUGCGGAUUUAUAUUUUCGCAAUAAAGAAAAAGAGAAAAGAAAAUUGUUCGCUCUUCUGAGUUUCGGUUCGGAGUCGAUCUGGUUCUUUGGCAAAAUUAGUUUCUCAUUGGGUUUAGUCGUCUCGCGAAUUAUUCAUGAAAAAUUAACAGAUUCAUCAUCCUUUCAGUCGCCACGUGUAUAUAUAUAUAGUUAUUUAACGCUAGAGGGGUGGGAUUUCAGAAAGCUUUUUUUUAUCCAUUUUCAUCAUACUUAUCAGUCUGUUUAUACUCUCGGGAAUUUACCUUCCUGCUGAAUGACUCUUCAGAAUUUUGUUGUGCCAUUAAAAAAUCAGAGCCAGUAGUCAACUAUAAAAAAUGCAGUUGGUAAAAGUCAGACAACUAUUGUACGAGUGCCAUUUCACUUCAACUCUUAACUUACCCCUCGCGUCUGGUCGUGCAGAAUUUUUAAACCGAAGUGUCACAAAAAUACAAAUAAAAUUCGCUUAAAAUUCUAUCGACGACUAAAAACCAAAAGCAAUGGUAAUCAAAUAUUUGAAGUCUUUAUAUUUCAUUGGCACGGUAUAUCAUAAAAUUGAAUUACCGAUAUCAAUAUUUUUACUUUUCAGUUUCUGACUGUCCGGAUACUCAAUGUUUAUCGCUACUCUAUGUACAGCACUCGUCUAGUUAUCGUACAGAUUUCAUGAUAACAUGUUACUGUUCGUAUCGGGCUCUAUAUCGAUUUGUCGAAAUGGCACGAUUUGUCCGUUACAAUUUCAUAUACACGGAUCUUUUGUAGUCUCAAAUUGUUACGACCCUUAAGGAUUGAAAGUACCCCUAAUUUCGAUAGAAGUCGAGUACUAUAGCUACACGCAAGGCAGUCACUGUCCAUUUUGGUUUAGCGACACGAAUACAGCCGGGUAUCUUGAAUUACUCUCGUUUCCCUUGGAUUUAUCGAAGUGCUGGAUUUGGCUUUAUCGACGGGAUCGUAAAGAGAUGUGCCAGGUGCGAAUGCGAAGAUCGCGUGAAAUACGUGAAGGAAGUUUGAAACGAUGACAGAAGGAGACGAGGAUGGUCCAAAAUGAGUGAGGCUGUUAUGGGAUGGCUAAAGAGAGAAAGUGAACAUAACCUACACCCCAGUGCGCAGUCUGUUUAAUUAGUGAACAAAUUAAAUGCCAGGACAGCCACAUCCGACAUGGUUGCGCAAUUAGAGAUUCUCCCGGAUACCAAUUCAGGAUACAAAGCUAUUAAGUGAAACAAACGACUGACAGCACCUGUUGAUACUUCGCUAACCGCUAUCCACUCAGUGUAACACGUAUGAAACAAAGUUUCAAGAGGCUGAGGGUAUUCCGUGGUAUUUUACUUAGCCAGCGAGAGGUGACGUCAUUCGAGAAAUUCCUUGAAAAUAAUUCAAAUACUGUUUUGCCAAAUUGGUCGUAUUUGAAAUCGUCGCACGAAGGACCGAAACAUUAUUUUCGUAACGGAGUAUCAAAAUAGAGAUAUUAUUUUCAUUCUUCGUUUUGGCCUCUGGCGCAGUGUACGGUUACAUUUUUGCUUUCGCAAUGCUUCGGGCAAACAUAUCUGAAAAUUGUACACAGUCUAAAAGUAACCAGUAACGGCAAAAUGUGUUGCACCGAAUUUAAGGAUCCGUCUGACGUGACACUAAUAGACGCGGACAAAAGACACUCCGGGAAACCGAAGCCGCCGAUUGAUGGAAGUUGACGAUCAGGAAAUAACAAUUUUUGAUCAUAUUUGGCCCGGUUUCAAUACUACGAGGAUUAAUAUUUCUGCAUUUACUAAGAUGGUCUAAGAUGGAGAGAAGGAACCGUUGGACCCGUAAGUAUACGGAGAAAUGAAAAUAAAGUUUAUAAACUUUUUGAAAAAAAAUCAAAAACCUGAUUAAACUGUGCCUGCUGCUCGUUUUCUUGUUGA
Cephus cinctus (wheat stem sawfly) is the source of this 4832-nucleotide RNA transcript. It is a transcript of the gene named ubiquitin-conjugating enzyme E2 Q2, with no coding region annotated. The record is from RefSeq and is a predicted model, not a curated record. The transcript is spliced from 12 exons. NCBI's taxonomy places the organism in Eukaryota, Metazoa, Arthropoda, Insecta, Hymenoptera, Cephidae.